RNAcentral lists this transfer RNA (87 nucleotides) under bacterium. RNAcentral's name for it is "tRNA-Ser". It matches the Rfam family "tRNA". From Rfam's summary of the family: Transfer RNA (tRNA) molecules are approximately 80 nucleotides in length. Their secondary structure includes four short double-helical elements and three loops (D, anti-codon, and T loops). Further hydrogen bonds mediate the characteristic L-shaped molecular structure. tRNAs have two regions of fundamental functional importance: the anti-codon, which is responsible for specific mRNA codon recognition, and the 3' end, to which the tRNAs corresponding amino acid is attached (by aminoacyl-tRNA synthetases). tRNAs cope with the degeneracy of the genetic code in two manners: having more than one tRNA (with a specific anti-codon) for a particular amino acid; and 'wobble' base-pairing, i.e. permitting non-standard base-pairing at the 3rd anti-codon position. The record is from RNAcentral.
GGAGGAGUCGCAUAGUGGUCUAGUGCGCCGCACUCGAAAUGCGGUAAGGGAGCAAUCUCUUCGUGGGUUCAAAUCCCACCUCCUCCG